GUUUUCUCUUGUAGAUAAAAAAAAAAAAUUGAUUCUAUGUCAAACUGAAUCAUUUUUUGAGAAAGAAAUCAACGACAAUCGAUGCAAAAUAGGGAUGAUGUCCACAUCUCGAUCCAAGAAAAAUUACUAAGCAAUCGGAUAAUGAAAAGAAAUAAUAAUGAAAAACACAAGUGAAUAGUUACAAACUAGAUCACUUGGAGUGCGAGGUCCCUUUACCCUCUCUUCGUGGUGCACUUGUGUAUCUGAAUGUCUUAAUUUGCUUAGCUGCCUCUUUCUUCUUUCCAUCCUGUGACAGAAAUCGAUCAUAGUUGAAAAGAUCGAUAGAUGGAUGCCCAACAGCCACCCAUUCUUUAGUAAGAACGAUAGAGGCUGCCAUCAUUUUUCCCAUAUGUGUUCAUGUCCUUAAUAUGCUCUAAAGAAUCCUUGAAUCACUCUAAGGCAUCAAUUCAAGCACGGGCUAGCGAAGAGCGCAAUUAUCAAUCUCCUUUUUCCUCUUCACUGACUCGAGACUUCUGCUCAUUGAUCCAUGACUCCAUCUCCUUAUAACGAGCUUCCAUAGCAUCGAGAGACUUCUUCAAGGUUGAAUUUUUUUCCUUGAAGUUGCUCGCUUCCUUGAUCUUGUCGUCCUCGAGAGCCUUCAACUCAAACGUGACUUACUCUGACAGGUAAAGCUUGCAUGAUCAAGAAAAGUAAAUGAAGAUAUGCACGGUAAGAAAAUAAAAGCCUACCUAUAAGUUGACUGGUUCUCAAUAUCAACAUCUUCCUCAUUGUCAAAACUUGAGAUAGGAGAGAUGCAAGAAGUGGUAGGGGUCAACUGUUGUAUUUGAGAGUUCAAGAGUCCCAGGCUCACGUGACUAUUGAAAAGGUACAUUUGGGAAACUCUCCAAUAAGUAGUGAAAGGAAAUUCGCCUUCGGAAAGUAGAACGAAGAAUAAUCGAGACUUCCAUCCACUAUUAGAAUUUCUAUACUUAGGAAUACUAAGAGAAACCCUAAUGGGUAAAUAGACAAAUGCGUUAUAAUGGAGUAAGUUGUGUAAUUAAAAUAUGCACCUGAAUAGUCGAUGGAAGGCACCAUCUUUUCACUAAGGCAAAGUACAAAAAGUAUAGCGCUUUCCUCUAGGCAUCGGGAUUUAUUUGACUGGGGGUAAGAUGGAAUUGAUUAAAGAUUGAAAUGAAGAAAGCAUAAAGAGAAAACCUCAAACCUCCAUCAAACUAAUCUUUAUACAUAGCGAUUUCGCUAAGAUUUGAGCUGGGAAGUUCUUCCUUAGACCUGUAGGUUCUAUAUAUAUAAUCGUCAACGCGAGUAUACCUAUCAAGUAACUGAUCCAAUUUGGUUGGAUGGUUGUAUGAGCUAGGUCCCUUUAGAAUAUCAAGAAUUACUACCUGACACGUCCGAUCUUGUCCAAUUUCAAAGUUAAGAUUUGGAGAUUUGAAAGAACCAAUGUGAUUUUUGAGAGAAAUGGAACAAAAUGGCCGGUCAUGAAAAUGGACUGGAUCAUCACCCUGAGGGGUUUGAUCAAUCCCCUGGAGAGAGGCUGGUCGGUCGACUAGGGUGCCUACCGGUCAAUCCAUCGAAAGAUGGGUCAGUCGACUCCUUUCCUUUCCUCUCCUACUAUCAUUUUCAAUUUUGUUUGAUAUGGAAGGAGAUGAAUCUAAAAUUUCUUGACUAGAAGAUGAUGAAGACAAUAAUCACGUUAUACAUUUAGAUUGAAAGGAUCUACAAACUAAUUGAAUUUCAAGAAAAGUAAAAGUGGAAAAGGAAGUUACUUUAGGUAUAAAGAAAGUGGAAGAUGGACUUAGGGUUCGCAAAAAGGAAAUCUGAAGAAAAAUGAGAUUAUCCUCCCUUUAUAAGGAAUUUUUUUUGGAUACAUAUGAUACAAGUCGAUGAAUUAUAUGAUUUUAGUAAUUACUUGUAAAUCUGAGUACGACCACCAAGUAAUUUAAGAAAAUAAACCUCAGUUUCCUUGAAGAAAUAUAUCGUAUUAAUCAGUACGAAAUGUGAUUAGUUGAAUACCUUCAAAAUAAAGACAUUACAAGAAAAGAACUCUUCAAUAUAUCGCUUAUUCAUCGAAUCAAGGUAUAAGGCAUAAGAGAACCCUCUGUUUCUUGCUCUGUUUAACAAUUUCAAAACCUACAAAACUCGUUGAUUAGACCAAAGAUAAUGCAAUAAAAUCUUUUACAAAGCAAUAAAACGUCAAAAAAGUGAAAGAGGAAACUACGAGAUUAUUAUGAUCAUCCAGCAUAUAUUUUAAUGGAGCAUAAUUUGUAAUUCUUUUGCACCUCCAACCCCAGCUCGAGGAGAAUGAUGAAAUUCAUCCUCAGCAUAUAGGUUCAAGGGUGUUGUACCCUCCUGUUGGGAAAUAUUCCAAGAUGAUUACUCAAAUGCUACAUAAUGUUAUAAAUGAAGAAAAAAAGGGCAUAACAAAGUGAAAGAAAUAAAGAAAAAGAAGAGAAUUAACGUUAAAAUAGUUCCCAACCAGGAAUGCAAACAUGAGGAAUGUGUAUUCAGAAGUACGGGCCAAACCCAAUAGAUCCAACUCUCAAGCAACUAUAUUUUCAUACUUUGUAAUCUUUUU
Molecule: long non-coding RNA, 2575 nt
Filed under: Olea europaea subsp. europaea
Lineage: Eukaryota; Viridiplantae; Streptophyta; Magnoliopsida; Lamiales; Oleaceae
Source: RNAcentral